RNAcentral lists this ribosomal RNA (186 nucleotides) under uncultured aquatic eukaryote. Its description in RNAcentral is "partial small subunit ribosomal RNA". It matches the Rfam family "Eukaryotic small subunit ribosomal RNA", at positions 1489 to 1674 of the family's 1831-position model. The record is from RNAcentral.
GCACGCGCGCUACACUGAAGGAAUCAGCGUGUCUCCCACCUGGUCCGAAAGGACCGGGUAACCCCCUGAAACUCCUUCGUGCUUGGGAUUGGGACUUGCAACUAUUUCCCAUGAACGAGGAAUUCCCAGUAAGUGCGGGUCAUAAGCUCGCGUUGAUUACGUCCCUGCCCUUUGUACACACCGCAA